GACGAACGCUGGCGGCGUGCUUAACGCAUGCUAGUCGAACGGAAAGGCCCUGCUUUUGUGGGGUGCUCGAGUGGCGAACGGGUGAGUAACACGUGAGUAACCUGCCCUUGACUUUGGGAUAACUUCAGGAAACUGGGGCUAAUACCGGAUAGGAGCUCCUGCUGCAUGGUGGGGGUUGGAAAGUUUCGGCGGUUGGGGAUGGACUCGCGGCUUAUCAGCUUGUUGGUGGGGUAGUGGCUUACCAAGGCUUUGACGGGUAGCCGGCCUGAGAGGGUGACCGGCCACAUUGGGACUGAGAUACGGCCCAGACUCCUACGGGAGGCAGCAGUGGGGAAUAUUGCACAAUGGGCGGAAGCCUGAUGCAGCAACGCCGCGUGCGGGAUGACGGCCUUCGGGUUGUAAACCGCUUUCGCCUGUGACGAAGCGUGAGUGACGGUAAUGGGUAAAGAAGCACCGGCUAACUACGUGCCAGCAGCCGCGGUGAUACGUAGGGUGCGAGCGUUGUCCGGAUUUAUUGGGCGUAAAGGGCUCGUAGGUGGUUGAUCGCGUCGGAAGUGUAAUCUUGGGGCUUAACCCUGAGCGUGCUUUCGAUACGGGUUGACUUGAGGAAGGUAGGGGAGAAUGGAAUUCCUGGUGGAGCGGUGGAAUGCGCAGAUAUCAGGAGGAACACCAGUGGCGAAGGCGGUUCUCUGGGCCUUUCCUGACGCUGAGGAGCGAAAGCGUGGGGAGCGAACAGGCUUAGAUACCCUGGUAGUCCACGCUGUAAACGGUGGGUACUAGGUGUGGGGUCCAUUCCACGGGUUCCGUGCCGUAGCUAACGCUUUAAGUACCCCGCCUGGGGAGUACGGCCGCAAGGCUAAAACUCAAAGGAAUUGACGGGGCCCCGCACAAGCGGCGGAGCAUGCGGAUUAAUUCGAUGCAACGCGUAGAACCUUACCUGGGUUUGACAUGGAUCGGGAGUGCUCAGAGAUGGGUGUGCCUCUUUUGGGGUCGGUUCACAGGUGGUGCAUGGCUGUCGUCAGCUCGUGUCGUGAGAUGUUGGGUUAAGUCCCGCAACGAGCGCAACCCUUGUUCACUGUUGCCAGCACGUUAUGGUGGGGACUCAGUGGAGACCGCCGGGGUCAACUCGGAGGAAGGUGGGGAUGACGUCAAGUCAUCAUGCCCCUUAUGUCCAGGGCUUCACGCAUGCUACAAUGGCUGGUACAGAGAGUGGCGAGCCUGUGAGGGUGAGCGAAUCUCGGAAAGCCGGUCUCAGUUCGGAUUGGGGUCUGCAACUCGACCUCAUGAAGUCGGAGUCGCUAGUAAUCGCAGAUCAGCAACGCUGCGGUGAAUACGUUCCCGGGGCU
Molecule: ribosomal RNA, 1346 nt
Filed under: uncultured bacterium
Lineage: Bacteria
Description: partial 16S ribosomal RNA
Rfam family: Bacterial small subunit ribosomal RNA
Source: RNAcentral